RNAcentral lists this long non-coding RNA (268 nucleotides) under Malus domestica (apple). Its description in RNAcentral is "long non-coding RNA (MDOM_LNC001787)". The record is from RNAcentral. Lineage: Eukaryota; Viridiplantae; Streptophyta; Magnoliopsida; Rosales; Rosaceae.
GAAAAAGCCUUCACGAAUGUCACUUGUGUGAAGCCUCAGUACUUGGAGCCUUGGUACUCGGUGGAACCCUAAAAGAAGGAGGCACUGAAGAUAGCUUAUUCGGAGCCUCAAUACUUGGUCGAACUCCAGAUGACGAAGGCAAAAAGUGCCUCUGGAAUACAUCCACAAACUUCCGAUGGUCACUUUGAAUUCGACCUUCAGAGUCCAUCAGCUGAUCAAGCUUCCUCUUCAUGCUCGUCGAAUAACUAUUUGCAAGCACAUGCAACUC